This 217-nucleotide unclassified non-coding RNA is filed under the name rhizosphere metagenome. Its description in RNAcentral is "partial ribosomal RNA internal transcribed spacer region". The record is from RNAcentral.
GUAGGUGAACCUGCGGAAGGAUCAUUAUCAAUUUUACAGUCCUGGGAUGGGGGUAAAAACUCCAUCCCAUGCUGUUCAACCCUUUGUCUUUUGCGUACUGUAUGUUUCCUCGGCGGGUUCGCCCACCGAUAGGACACUUCAAAACCUUUUGUAAUUGCAAUCAGCGUCAGAAAAACUAUAAUAGUUACAACUUUCAACAACGGAUCUCUUGGUUCUG